This 406-nucleotide unclassified non-coding RNA is filed under the name Hyptis marrubioides. RNAcentral describes it as "partial contains external transcribed spacer and 18S ribosomal RNA". Lineage: Eukaryota; Viridiplantae; Streptophyta; Magnoliopsida; Lamiales; Lamiaceae. The record is from RNAcentral.
GGGCAGCGACGGCAUCUACCCAACGCCUCUUCAUUCGUGUGAUCAAGCUCGACUUGGCCGCGGUCGGUUUUCCUGUGUUGCAUACCUAUUGCGAGGGCAUUCAGUUGGCUAAAACGGUUCUAUCUCCGCCUUGUGUCGGUGCUCCAUCCGGGAGUUUGGCACGGGGUGGAUCUCAUGGCAUGCGUUGUGUUUCGCGCGGCAUUCACCUAAUUUGGUGUUUGGGUAGGCGACCCAUGACGUGAUGCCCGUUCUCUCGGGUACGGAACAUCGGGUGGGUUCGAGGCCUUGUCCCUUGAUCACCACACAAUAGCGUUCUACGCUUUAUGCGAACGACGGCUGCACACGACCCUCGGCGGAGCACUUGCUGCUCUAUCGAAGUCGCGUCGGCGUCGGUGAGGGAUGCUAC